RNAcentral lists this ribosomal RNA (427 nucleotides) under uncultured bacterium. Its description in RNAcentral is "bacterial SSU rRNA". It matches the Rfam family "Bacterial small subunit ribosomal RNA", at positions 355 to 774 of the family's 1533-position model. The record is from RNAcentral.
CUAAGAAUCUUCCGCAAUGGGCGAAAGCCUGACGGAGCGACGCCGCGUGGGUGAAGAAGGCCGAGAGGUUGUAAAGCCCUUUUCUGCAUGAGGAAUAACGGCAGGAGGGAAUGCCUGGCGGAUGACGGUAGUGCAGGAAUAAGCCCCGGCCAAUUACGUGCCAGCAGCCGCGGUAACACGUAUGGGGCGAGCGUUGCUCGGAAUCAUUGGGCGUAAAGGGCGCGCAGGCGGCUGCGCAAGCCUGGUGUGAAAGACUGCAGCGUAACUGCAGGCACGCGCUGGGAACUGUGUGGCUUGAGUUCCGGAGGGGAAGCUGGAAUUCCUGGUGUAGGGGUGAAAUCUGUAGAUAUCAGGAAGAACAUCAGCGGCGAAGGCGAGCUUCUGGCCGUGAACUGACGCUGAGGCGCGAAAGCGUGGGGAGCGAACA